Molecule: ribosomal RNA, 1360 nt
Filed under: metagenome
Description: bacterial SSU rRNA
Rfam family: Bacterial small subunit ribosomal RNA
Source: RNAcentral
GGAUAGGUAACGUACCCCGAGCUCCGGGAUAGCCAGCCGAAAGGUUGGGUAAUACCGGAUAACAUCGGAGGCCGACGGGCCUUCGAUCAAAGAUUUAUCGGCGCGGGAGCGGCCUAUCUCCUAUCAGCUUGUUGGUGAGGUAACGGCCCAUCAAGGCGAAGACGGGUAGCGGGACUGAGACACUGCCCGGACCCCCACGGGGGGCUGCAGUAACGAAUCUUGGGCAAUGGGCGAAAGCCUGACCCAGCGACGCCGCGUGCGGGAGGAAGUUCUUCGGAAUGUAAACCGCUGUCAGGGCAAAGAAAGUCCACUUCGGUGGAUUGAUCUACCCCAGAGGAAGUCACGGCUAACUCUGUGCCAGCAGCCGCGGUAAGACAGAGGUGGCAAGCGUUGUUCGGUAUCACUGGGCUUAAAGCGUGUGUAGGCGGAAACGUAAGCAUUUUGUGAAAUCCCCCGGCUCAACCGGGGCAUUGCUUGAUGUACUGCGUUUCUUGAGGCAGGUAGGGGUGCGCGGAACUCUUGGUGGAGCGGUGGAAUGCGUAGAUAUCAAGAGGAACGCCGGUGGUGAAGACGGUGCACUAGGCCUGUCCUGACGCUGAGACACGAAAGCGUGGGGAGCAAACGGGAUUAGAUACCCCGGUAGUCCACGCUGUAAACGAUGCCUACUAGGUUGUGGCGGUUCUGACGCCGGCACAGCCGAAGCAAAAGUGUUAAGUAGGCCGCCUGGGGAGUACGGUCGCGAGGCUAAAACUCAAAGGAAUUGACGGGGGCUCACACAAGCGGUGGAGCAUGUGGAUUAAUUCGAAGCAACGCGCAGAACCUUACCUGGGUUUGACAUGCUUGGAUGCCUUCCUGGAAACAGGGUAGGUUGCCCUUCGGGGUGAAACUUGCACAGGUGCUGCAUGGCUGUCGUCAGCUCGUGUCGUGAGAUGUCGGGUUAAGUCCCAUAACGAGCGAAACCCUUGCCGUUAGUUGCCAGCGGGUCAUGCCGGGGACUCUAACGGGACUGCCGGUGUUAAACCGGAGGAAGGUGGGGAUGACGUCAAGUCGUCAUGGCCUUUAUGCCCAGGGCCUCACACGUGCUACAAUGGCGGGGACAAAGCGACGCAAGACCGCAAGGUGGAGCCAAUCGCAAAAACCUCGCCCCAGUUCGGAUUGUGGGCUGGCAACUCGCCCGCAUGAAGCCGGAAUCGCUAGUAAUCGUGGAUCAGCGACGCCACGGUGAAUGUGUUCCUGAGCCUUGUACACACCGCCCGUCAAGUGAUGGGAGUUGGGAGCACCCGAAGUCAGGUUGCUAACCCGCAAGGGAGGCGCCUGCCGACGGUGAGUCCGACGACUGGCACUAAGUCGUAACAAGGUA